This 127-nucleotide small RNA is filed under the name Marmota monax (woodchuck). The record is from RNAcentral. Lineage: Eukaryota; Metazoa; Chordata; Mammalia; Rodentia; Sciuridae.
GCUGGGUGCAGUGGCACAUGCCUGUAAUCCCCGUGAUUUGGGAGGCUGAGGCAGGAGGAUCACAAGUGAAAGGCUAACGUCAGCAAUUUAGCAAGGUCCGAAGCAACUUAGUGAGACCCUGUCUCAA